Molecule: ribosomal RNA, 120 nt
Filed under: Homo sapiens (human)
Lineage: Eukaryota; Metazoa; Chordata; Mammalia; Primates; Hominidae
Source: RNAcentral
GUCUAUGGCCAUAAAACCCUGAACUUGCCAGAUCUCAUCUGAUGUGGGAAGCUAAGCAGGGUCAGGUCUAGUUAGAACUUGGAUGGGAGACCACCAUGAGAAUACCAGGUGCUAUAGGCU